RNAcentral lists this ribosomal RNA (495 nucleotides) under uncultured bacterium. RNAcentral describes it as "partial 16S ribosomal RNA". It matches the Rfam family "Bacterial small subunit ribosomal RNA", at positions 28 to 505 of the family's 1533-position model. The record is from RNAcentral.
GAUGAACGCUGGCGGCGUGCCUAAUACAUGCAAGUCGAGCGAACAGACGAGGAGCUUGCUCCUCUGACGUUAGCGGCGGACGGGUGAGUAACACGUGGAUAACCUACCUAUAAGACUGGGAUAACUUCGGGAAACCGGAGCUAAUACCGGAUAAUAUAUUGAACCGCAUGGUUCAAUAGUGAAAGACGGUUUUGCUGUCACUUAUAGAUGGAUCCGCGCCGCAUUAGCUAGUUGGUAAGGUAACGGCUUACCAAGGCAACGAUGCGUAGCCGACCUGAGAGGGUGAGCGGCCACACUGGAACUGAGACACGGUCCAGACUCACACGGGAGGCAGCAGUAGGGAAUCUUCCGCAAGGGGCGAAAGCCUGACGGAGCAACGCCGCGUGAGUGAUGAAGGUCUUCGGAUCGUAAAACUCUGUUAUUAGGGAAGAACAAAUGUGUAAGUAACUAUGCACGUCGUGACGGUACCUAAUCAGAAAGCCACGGCUAACUACG